RNAcentral lists this ribosomal RNA (253 nucleotides) under uncultured bacterium. RNAcentral describes it as "partial 16S ribosomal RNA". It matches the Rfam family "Bacterial small subunit ribosomal RNA", at positions 524 to 776 of the family's 1533-position model. The record is from RNAcentral.
GACAGAGGGUGCAAACGUUGUUCGGAAUUACUGGGCGUAAAGCGUGUGUAGGCGGCCAUGUAAGUCGGAUGUGAAAGCCCCGGGCUCAACCCGGGAAGUGCAUUCGAUACUGCGUGGCUCGAGUAUCGGAGAGGUUGGUGGAAUUCUUGGUGUAGAGGUGAAAUUCGUAGAUAUCAAGAGGAACACCGGUGGCGAAGGCGGCCAACUGGACGAAUACUGACGCUGAGACACGAAAGCGUGGGGAGCAAACAGG